UACGGAGGGUGCGAGCGUUAAUCGGAAUGACUGGGCGUAAAGCGUGCGUAGGUGGUGGUGUUAGUCAGCCGUGAAAGCCCUGGGCUUAACCUGGGAAUGGCGGUUGAAACGGCACGACUCGAGUGGGUUAGAGGACUGUGGAACUCCUGGUGUAGCGGUGAAAUGCGUAGAGAUCAGGAAGAACACCGAUGGCGAAGGCAGCAGUCUGGGACCACACUGACACUGAGGCACGAAAGCGUGGGGAGCAAACAGG
Molecule: ribosomal RNA, 253 nt
Filed under: uncultured bacterium
Lineage: Bacteria
Description: partial 16S ribosomal RNA
Rfam family: Bacterial small subunit ribosomal RNA
Source: RNAcentral